This 253-nucleotide ribosomal RNA is filed under the name uncultured bacterium. Its description in RNAcentral is "partial 16S ribosomal RNA". It matches the Rfam family "Bacterial small subunit ribosomal RNA", at positions 524 to 776 of the family's 1533-position model. The record is from RNAcentral.
UACGGAGGGUGCGAGCGUUGUCCGGAAUCACUGGGCGUAAAGAGCGUGUAGGCGGUCCGGUAAGUCGGUUGUGAAAGUCCAGGGCUCAACCCUGGGAUGCCGACCGAUACUGUCGGACUAGAGUUCGGAAGAGGCGAGUGGAAUUCCCGGUGUAGCGGUGAAAUGCGCAGAUAUCGGGAGGAACACCUAUGGCGAAGGCAGCUCGCUGGGACGUUACUGACGCUGAGACGCGAAAGCGUGGGGAGCAAACAGG